GGGGAGCUUGCUCCUUGGAUCAGUGGCGAACGGGUGAGUAACACGUGAGCAAUCUGCCCUUGACUCUGGGAUAACUGCGGGAAACUGUAGCUAAUACCGGAUACGACCUGAAGAGGCAUCUUUUUGGGUGGAAAGAAUUUUGGUCAAGGAUGAGCUCGCGGCCUAUCAGCUUGUUGGUGAGGUAAUGGCUCACCAAGGCGACGACGGGUAGCCGGCCUGAGAGGGUGACCGGCCACACUGGGACUGAGACACGGCCCAGACUCCUACGGGAGGCAGCAGUGGGGAAUAUUGCACAAUGGGCGCAAGCCUGAUGCAGCAACGCCGCGUGAGGGACGAAGGCCUUCGGGUUGUAAACCUCUUUUAGUAGGGAAGAAGUGACUGGGUUUUCCUGGGAGUGACGGUACCUGCAGAAAAAGCACCGGCUAACUACGUGCCAGCAGCCGCGGUAAUACGUAGGGUGCAAGCGUUGUCCGGAAUUAUUGGGCGUAAAGAGCUCGUAGGCGGUUUGUCGCGUCUGCUGUGAAAACCCGAGGCUCAACCUCGGGCCUGCAGUGGGUACGGGCAGACUAGAGUGCGGUAGGGGAGAUUGGAAUUCCUGGUGUAGCGGUGGAAUGCGCAGAUAUCAGGAGGAACACCAAUGGCGAAGGCAGAUCUCUGGGCCGUAACUGACGCUGAGGAGCGAAAGCAUGGGGAGCGAACAGGAUUACAUACCCUGGUAGUCCAUGCCGUANACGUUGGGAACUAGAUGUGGGGACCAUUCCACGGUCUCCGUGUCGCAGCUAACGCAUUAAGUUCCCCGCCUGGGGAGUAC
RNAcentral lists this ribosomal RNA (811 nucleotides) under Cryobacterium sp. G03 117-2. Its description in RNAcentral is "bacterial SSU rRNA". It matches the Rfam family "Bacterial small subunit ribosomal RNA", at positions 73 to 883 of the family's 1533-position model. The record is from RNAcentral. Lineage: Bacteria; Bacillati; Actinomycetota; Actinomycetes; Micrococcales; Microbacteriaceae.